Non-coding RNA from Pelobates cultripes (western spadefoot toad), 99 nucleotides. Lineage: Eukaryota; Metazoa; Chordata; Amphibia; Anura; Pelobatidae. The record is from the annotation of a GenBank genome assembly.
UCGACGUUUCAGCCACACUGUAUGGCUUUUAUCAGGAUCUCCACAGCUCAAAUGAGCUGUGGAGAUCCUGAUGAAAGCCAUGUAGUGUGGCUGAAACGU